AGACCUCAGAUCAGGCAAGGCUACCCGCUG
RNAcentral lists this ribosomal RNA (30 nucleotides) under Pocillopora sp. PG-2017. RNAcentral describes it as "partial 28S ribosomal RNA". Lineage: Eukaryota; Metazoa; Cnidaria; Anthozoa; Scleractinia; Pocilloporidae. The record is from RNAcentral.